CCUACGGGAGGCAGCAGUGGGGAAUAUUGGGCAAUGGGCGCAAGCCUGACCCAGCAACGCCGCGUGAAGGAAGAAGGCUUUCGGGUUGUAAACUUCUUUUCUCAGGGACGAAGAAAGUGACGGUACCUGAAGAAAAAGCAUCGGCUAACUCCGUGCCAGCAGCCGCGGUAAUACGGAGGAUGCGAGCGUUAUCCGGAUUUAUUGGGUUUAAAGGGUGCGUAGGCGGGUUAUCAAGUCAGCGGUAAAAUCGUGGAGCUCAACUCCAUCCAGCCGUUGAAACUGAUGAUCUUGAGUGGGCGAGAAGUAUGCGGAAUGCGUGGUGUAGCGGUGAAAUGCAUAGAUAUCACGCAGAACUCCGAUUGCGAAGGCAGCAUACCGGCGCCCGACUGACGCUGAAGCACGAAAGCGUGGGUAUCGAACAGGAUUAGAUACCCUGGUAGUC
This 442-nucleotide ribosomal RNA is filed under the name uncultured bacterium. RNAcentral's name for it is "partial 16S ribosomal RNA". It matches the Rfam family "Bacterial small subunit ribosomal RNA", at positions 338 to 795 of the family's 1533-position model. The record is from RNAcentral.